RNAcentral lists this long non-coding RNA (7061 nucleotides) under Homo sapiens (human). Its description in RNAcentral is "HSALNT0219797". Lineage: Eukaryota; Metazoa; Chordata; Mammalia; Primates; Hominidae. The record is from RNAcentral.
AGACAGCCCUGUUGUAGUGUGGCAGGAAAACCCAGCACUGGGAAGAGCAACCAGGACCACAGUCUUCCAUGUCUUCAGUCUUACUUGUGAAACCUGCAUUCCUGGAGGCUAGCAAGAGGGAAAGAACCACAUGCAUAGAUCUACCAUAAGCAAUCCCCACCCUCUCCUGACAUCCAUUCUGCAGACAUAAAACUAUAAAACAAAACCUUCUGGAACAAAACAUGAGGGAAAUAAUGGAUCCAGGUUAAGCAAUCAGCUAUGAGCAAGAUACCUUUGAGAAGUGUAAAGAAAAACCAGAAAUAAAAAGCAGAGGUUAAAGAAUGUGCUCAAGGUUACUCUGUAAGGAAGUAAUGGAGCCAGAAUGCACGGACCAUCUGGAACCCUGAUACCAUCAGGAACACAAAAAUGGAUGCUAAUCAAAGAAGCCUCUUGAUCUCUUGAUCUUCCUGCUGCCUCAUUUCUUUAUUUAAUAGCAGGUGGACAUCCACCUCAGAGAGGGCUGAGAUACAGGCAGCUGUGGCAGAGCCAUCUGGCAAGAUUCUGCAUGGCCCUCUGUUUCAUGCCCUUAUUUUUAUUUAUUUAUGUUUUCUGAAACAGAGUCUCGCUCUGUCGUCCCAGCUGGAGUGCAGUGGCACUAUCUCAGCUCACUGCAACCUCCAUCUCCCCAGCUCAAACAAUUCUCCUGCCCCAGCCUCCUGAGUAGCUGGGAUUACAGGCAUGUGCCACCACGCCUGGCUAAUUUUUAUAUUUUUUUUAGUAGAGAUGGGGUUUCAUUAUGUUGGCCAGGGUGGUCUCAAACUCCUGACCUCAGGUAAUCCACCUGCCUCGGCCUCCCAAAGUGCUGGGAUUACAGGCAUGAGCCACUGUGCCUGGACUUCAUGCCCUUAUUCUUACUGUAACUUUAAACUGGCCUCUGAAUUUGGACUUGCUUGGACCUCCAAGCUCCUCCUUGUCUUCCCGGCCAAUCCAGCCCUCAGAAUUGCUAGCUGGGUUUGUUCUCCAGUCAUUUCCUAGUUUCCAGAUAUCUAUUCUCAUACUGCUGUGGACUCCAGUCCAGCACUAGGCCACUCCCUCAUAUUCUCUUCCCACUUACAAGGCAGGGUAGAGAACAUGGAAUCUGAAAGUUGAUCUCCUCCCCUGGAAGCUCACAGCAUAACCAGAAAUUCAAAACGCAGAUUUGCGAAACAACAGAUCACAAUACCAAGACAGCUUGUAAACAUUGAGAAUGUGUGAAGAUUGAACAAAGAAGCAGAGAGUUCAAAGGAAUUCAACAUAAAUCUAGGCUAUUUUCUAGGAGCCUGGUGACAGCUGAGCUUUCCUCUUACUGACAAGUCCAGAGCAAUGCAACCUCCCCAGUGGCCAGAGUUUUGACUUUCAAUACAGAUUAGCUAACUACCGACCAAUGAACAAGCCCAUAUGCUUUUAGCAGGUAGUAUGCAAAAGAAGCCCACAGGGCUUCUUUAUUUAUUUAGCUGGAUAAUGCGUCUCCCUAGGAUCUGUGCAGGGAGGAUAGCUACUUCUGAGGAUGCAAUGACAUGGCUUUUAGCUCAAACCUUGACAUGCCACCCCUCCCUCAUUCCUUUUCUUACCCCACAAUCAUUACCUUAAAAAGAAUUUUCACUUUAGAAAGUGACCUUGCUGGGCUGAAGCUUGAAGUUUUAAAAGCCCCCUAAGGUUUCAUUUUGAAAAGUCAUCAUGGACUUUAGAUUGACUUUCUCUUGAAGGCAGCUUAAACCUUGUUCAUUUGGGAGCACAAAAGAGAAGGUUUAGGAAUCCCAAGGCUUUAAUUGCCAGCUGUCUUAUUUCUCUGUUCACAUUUUUUUUCUUCUCUCCAGGAAGACUAAGAUGAGUGAAAUAAUUUCUUUCUUUUUAGUUAUCAUUGUAACAUUCAGGUUUUCCAUUACUGUCAAUUUCUUGAAACUUGUCUCAUUAGCAUUUUCAGAAGAGUUUAAAAAAACCUUUCAUCAAGGAAAAAAACGUGCAUGAUAUCUAAAUGCAAGUAAGUUGUCACGGGAUUUCAUUGACAUAAAUUUGUCCUCUCUUGUCUUCAUUUCUGCUUUCUCAGUUCCUCUUUUGAUAUCUUACAGCAAGCUUGUCCAACGCAGCCCAGAAUGGCUUUGAAUGAGGCCCAACAAAAAUUCACAAACUUUCUUAAGAACAUUAUGAGAUUGCUUUUUGGGAUUUUUUUUUUUUUAAGCUCCAUCAGCUAUCGUUAGUGUUAAUGUAUUUUAAUGUAUUUUAUGUGUGGCCCAAGACAAUUCUUCUUCCAAUGUGGCUCAGGGAAGCCAAAAGAUUGGACACCUCUGUUUAGAGCCUAGGAACCAUACCCAUGGCUCUUUACAGACUUGGAAAUAAGUGCCCUAGAUUAACAAAUAAAGCAUCUUAGAAGCAAGGUGUAAAGACGGACUGUGGGGCUUUUAUACCCCCUAAAACUUCUAAGAACAAAGAAAGAAAUGCCAAAAAGCCCAAUAGAAGCAACAAUAUAAAUAACAAAAUAACAUUCUAGAGGAAAUCAACCCAUGACUACAGGGUUUUCUGCAAGCUUCACAUAUUUUGUGUGUUUUUAAAAGAAGGAGAGCUGGGUUAGUGAGCAAACCUAAGGAGUCCUUAUUGCCAAUACAACUAGCAGGUAAGAGCUCCCUGGUGUUACACCUCAGUGAUGGAGAUUAAUCAACUCUUUAUUUCUCCUAACCCAAAAGUGCUUUUGUAAAUGCACAUGGAUUAGCACUAAGGAGCUAAUUAUCUUAUAAGCUGAGAUCACUUUUCCAAAGAGACAAACUCUCCCAGGAUCUAGAGCAGCAGCCUCUUUUAUAGCAUUUCCUGGAAAUGGAGACAUUGACUUGGAAGUUGCAUCAGCAAAUUGAGCAUGCAUUCUCCUGUGGGAACAUUGCAAGUUAGGAAAUGUGGGUCUCGUAUGUGGCCACAGAGAGAGAAGACAUGCAGACUGAAUGGUUUUCAAGCCAAAAAUGCAGAAUUGGCAAAAUCUAGAGUUGCUCACUCCUUAUCUCCUAGGUGAUGUUUUCUUCCAGCUCCAUUUGUUAGAAAUUGUGUAGUACCCACAGGACAUAGAAAGUAUUGUUUUAAGAGAGCCAGCAUUUUUGAAACAGGAAAGGUUCCCUUGUCCCCCUUGCAGGGCAUGCAAUGGGGGUGUGGCUCACUUCUUCAGUGCCCCGCUGCUCAAACCUCUAGGGGAGCAUACAGAUGGGCAGGCUGUGGGGCUCCAAUCCCACGGCAGUGUCUCGGGGUGAAAGUUUACAGGUGAAGCCCCAGUGGGCAUGUAUUAUAAGAUGCUCUUUUAGUUUGUCGUCUAUAGGCGGCUUGUAUUAACCAGCUCAGUUAGACCCUCUACCUUGUCACAAGGACAGAAGGUUUUCUGUAUCCCGGGUUCUUGCCUUGGUGUACUGGAAGAAUCGGAUCACAUGUGGGCUUGGAGAAUGAGUGCAAAGUUUUAUUAAGUGGAAGUAGCUCUUAGCCAAUGGGGGAGCCAGAAGGGAGAUGGUUUUCCCCUGGAUUUGGGCCACUCAGCAGCCCCGGCUCGCCUCGGACUGCCCUGGCCGAACUCUUCCUCAUCCUGCCAGCUGAUGGCCUGUCAGUGGGCCAGCCUCUGUCAGUGUGUUCUUCUGCUCACUAGCUUCUCUCGACGUCCUCUCGACGACCACUUGUUUCUUCUUCCACAGAUGUGUUCCUCUGGACAUCUGGCCUCCUGUGUGAGUGCUUGCUAGGGUUUCAUGUUUUUAUAGGCCCAGGAUGCGGAUGUGGCCCACCAGGGUGAUCUUGGGAAAUACAACAUUUGGGCAGGAAAUUCCUGUCCUCACCUAGGCCCGUAGGGGUGGAACCCUAGCCAGGGGCCCGCCUUUCUCUACCCAGCACUUCCCUUCCCCCUCUUCCUUAUUAUUUAAAGGGACCAUGCUCUUCCCUUCCCAGUACUCUCGUAUCAUUUUGACUGGAAAUUUCUGCUCUACCACUCUACUGCAAGAGAGAAGGUAGAACCUAGAGUACGAGUUGCUCACAAUCUGAGAUGAGCAGCUUCCUAGGCAGGGCUUUCUAAAUGUGGUGAAAACAGACAUUGAAGAGGGCACCUGGUUUUAAGCCUCUGUCAUUUCACAUACCCUUUAUUUACAAACUCUACUUUUUGUAUGCCCAUUGAAGUUUUACCUUGUUUUGUGAAAGAAAUUAUUUUGUCUAAUGAGGUUUAAAAAAUCCAUCUUCUGCAAUCCAUCAUAGGCUUCUAAAUUUUUUCCCCUAAUUCAAAAAAUAUUCAUUGACUACUUGCUAUGCUCCAGGCAUAGUUCUAGACACUGAGGAAUCAUUCAUGAACAAAAUUAACCAAAUCUCUGCCUUCAGGGAGUUUCCAGGCAAGGACAAAUUACAAAACAAAUAAAUUAUUAAGUUAUUUGAUGUAUUAGAAGGUGAUAAACAUUAUGGGAAUAAAUGAAUCCUAAAAGGAGGUUAGAGAGUUGAGGAAGGGGAAGGUUUCAUUUCAAAUGGGGUGAACAAGACAGUUUCACUAUAAUGAUGACAUUUGAAGAAGGAGAGGGAAUGAGACAUGUGGCUACCUGGGGAAGGUGGGGUGCGGGGCAGUGCGGGAAAUGAUCUAAGCAGAGGGAAAAGUACAAGCAAGCACCCUGAGAAGAGUUCAUGCCUGUAGAACAAUGCAUGAGGGGGAGAUGCAUAAGGGGUCACAUUGAACUUGGUAGCUCACUGUGAAGGUUUUGACUUUUUAUGUGAAGUAGGAUGGGACUCCUUGGAGAGUUUUCAUCAGAAGAGUAACAUGAUCUGACUUAAUAUUUUUAAAAGAGCUUCUGGCUCUAAUGUUAAAGCUAGACGCUAAGACGAUAGAGGUCAAAACAUGAUUUUGUAUUUUUCUGGCAAUUAAGAUAAAAUACAUUAGGUAAAAUAAAUUGGGUGGGCAGGCAUGCAGGGUUACAUCUAUAUAAUCUGUCUUCAAAUGCUUGUCUUGACUUCCCAGAUGCAAAUCUUUUUAUAAAGUCACCCUUCCCUCUUAAAUUUCCCAGAGUUUGAACCUGGAUCAUUCUUUAUCAGAAUAAUAUAGUUGUACUUUUUAUUGCUCUUGAAAAAUUAAAAGAGCCUAUAACCUUAAGGCCUUUUUCUUAAUGCAGAAAAGUAGAAGUUUUAACUAGUUUCUCUAAAUGCCUAAGAAUAUAAGAAGCAUUUUGAGACAGCUAAUGACCUGUAUAAGAUAAGAUAUCUUAAGUGUUCUGGCACAGAUAUUCCUAAGAACCCAAUUUGCUAACAAAUACAGCAGUGGCCAUAAUUCUAUAAAUGGGAAUAGUGGUAGGGAACCUAGUGGUCACCAUCCCAUUUUACAGAUGGAGAAGCAGCCCAAGCUCACACAACUAAGAAGUGGCAGAGUUGAACUUCAACUCUGCUCUGUCUAGCUAAAAGCCUUUCACCAGUGGUUUCUGGCUAGAGUAUUCUGCAGCUUCUUUUGUAGGAAGCUUAUUUUAAAGCAUGUCAAGAAUCUAAAUUAGCUUCUUAUUCCACAUUCUACACUUCCUUAGGAAACAAACUUUUAUUUCUCCCUUUAAAUAAAAAAAGCAAAACAAAAAGACAAGGGGUAUCAUUGGCCAUCAUAAUGGGGAGAGAAGUUGGAGACAGAAAGGCUAAAAUCAAUCAAGCUGAGAGGCCUGAAAACUAAUGCCUGUCCCAUGGUCCCCUCUUAAAUUGUCUAGUCACAGCACAGGACAGGCACCACAUGCCAAGUAACAUUACCCAAAGAUGAACCAAACCUGAAAAGGCAGCUGACUUUGCCUUCCCCAGUGCUAAAACUUGUUAAAGGAAUUUACUAAGUCUCAGAGGGUGUGAACUGAAAUAAUCUCCUUCAUCCUGAACUGAAAGAAGUGAUAAAAACCAAGAGACAGCCAAUGGCCUGGGUAGGGAGCAGUUGGCUUUCAGAAAAUAAAUUGAACACGUACAGACAACUCACACUUCCAACAAUUCCCCUCUGAAGAUGCAGGUGUCCUUCUGGGUAAAGUCCAUCAAACCUGACCUUUAAAAAAACAGAAUGAUUGGCUAAUUAUCAUCAACUGUUUUUUAAAUCAAUCUGUCAGAAUUCAAAUAGAGCAAUUUUCAGGGUAUUCUAAAAACUGAAUUUAAAUAAAAAAUAGCAAUUAUUUCAGAAUGACGGUAGGAGUCAUGGUGGCCCUUGCAGUACCUGUUGCAACCUUGUGUGGGAAUCAUUCCUGAGCCUGACUUUCCCGCUUGGGACACAGAGAAUGCAAGACCAGGCAGGCAGCUGCUGAUUUGGUACCAGUCACUUCAGGAAAUCAAAGAAAGCUGGAAAGUUGUUGGGAGCUAGUUUUGCUGGAGAGCUCUCAGAAAGAGGCGCCCAUCAUGACUGCCCUGGGGUUUGCUUGAGAAGUAACCAGACUCCCAGAGCAGGGGGAAAAGAGGCACCUGACCUGAAAAUAAAGAUUUGAGGCUCUGAGGAACAGUUUCAGGUGCUGUAGAAGGGAGCAGCAGGUUCUAGGGGAACCAAAGGGUUCAGAGAAGCAACCUCCUCUUCCUGCUACUGCCACAAAGACUCACCUUCAAGGGAAUGUCUUGCACUGCCUGAACAUAAAAAUUACUCUAAGUAGGAAAAAGUGUGUUUAUUCUCUGAAAAAAGAAAAUUCACAAUAUUGAGUGCUCAGAUUUCUCCCUCUCAGGCUGUCAUCUAUAUGCACAAAGUGUUUUGACUUUACAGUUAAAAGAAAAUCCCAAGGGUAAAAUAGUUUUUACUUUUUUAAGACACGUGUUUUCUAUUUUUUUCUCUUUUCUUGUGUUAAAGUUGGAAAUGAGUUACGAAAAAAAGAAGUACUUGUUUAUUUCCAGAUGGAGUGGGUUAAAGAGAGAAAGGGAGGAGCUCACCAGGAUUGAUAUGGGGACACUGGGUAGCCUCCGGACACCUCCAGAAGAAGGGAUUAUUGAGAAAGUAUAUUAUAUAUUUAAAAACAUUUUCUUAAACACCAUGGGGGAAGGGGAUGAGGUUGGGGAAUACGUUUUUACUUCUAAACAACCAUGUAUUCCAGAGUUGUCAAAUAAACAUUAUUUUUAUUUCA